Coffea arabica (coffee) is the source of this 449-nucleotide non-coding RNA. The record is from RefSeq and is a predicted model, not a curated record. Lineage: Eukaryota; Viridiplantae; Streptophyta; Magnoliopsida; Gentianales; Rubiaceae.
AGGAUUGUUUUACUACCAUUACUUCCUUACAAGGACUAAGGACAAUUCAUGAGAUCAUGAAAUCUCAGAAUCAGUUCUCCAUCGUAUUGUCUCAUCUAUGAAUCCAUUCCUAAAACAUGACUGGACUACAUUCAAUUGCUUCUAUCAAUUUUAUCUAUCAAAGUACAAGUACAAGCUGGAUCUGCCAGAAUUUGCGAAUCUAAGGCUAAAUGAAGAUAAUAUUGCUUUUUAUUCCACAAUCCAAGACUCCCUUUGCUGUGCUGGUGUUUGGACCGCAAAGGAAUAGAGAAGUUGUUUCCAUGGCAGUUUGCAUUUUCCAUUUGAUGGCACAUCUGAUUUACGCUGAUUCUGCUUCAACGCAAUGCACGGCAUUUGUUGUAUUUAUGUUCUUAAUGGAAAAAAGUUCUGGUUAGAAAAAUGCUUCCAAAGCACUGCAAAUUUAAUGUUUA